Molecule: long non-coding RNA, 739 nt
Organism: Pogoniulus pusillus (Red-fronted tinkerbird)
Lineage: Eukaryota; Metazoa; Chordata; Aves; Piciformes; Lybiidae
Exons: 3
Source: RefSeq, a predicted model, not a curated record
GAGCGCAGAGCCUGAGGAGCUGCCUGACCAUGAGAGCGCAGAGCCUGAGGAGCUGCCUGGCCUUGAGGGUGCACAGCCUGAGGAGCUGCUUGGCCUUGAGGGUGCACAGCCUGAGGAGCUGCCUGGCCAUGAGGGUGCACAGCCUGAGGAGCUGCCUGCAGCGGGGCUGGGAGAAGGAGAAGGUGCAGAGGUGCUUCCAGGGGCUGCUGAAAGGCAAGAGCCAAAGAGCUACUCUGAGCACAGAAGGUCACGCGAAGCUUGGCAGGACCUGCAGCAACACGCCAGCGGGAGGAGAAAGCUGAGCUGCAAGGAGGAGAGGGACAGCCAGGCAGACAUCGGAAGGCAAAAGCGGGAUCCCAAGCAGUGGCAGACACCCUCCAAAGGCUCCCUCAACAUCCACAGUCUAAACUGUCAGUCUGACAGGAGCAAUUCCUAAUUGCCAGCUGGAAGGAAUUCCGCAGAGGAGCACUAUGGUUGGGAGCUGUAUUUCCCAUCCAGGCACAAGCUGCUUGUCCUCCCCUCCACCUUGUCCCUAACUGCUGUCCUUUUUUUUCUCUCCCCACCUUUCCCAAGGCAGCUUGAAGAGACUCCUGCAGAAAUGUCACCUGUUGGGCUCAGUUCUGGAACACCUGACUGGCUCAGGGGACAUUCUUCUGAGGAGAAAAGUUUCUAUUUAGCUUUAUACUGAUAGUUACUAGAGUUAGAGAUCAUUAUAGUUGGUAUCGUAUAGUUAGCAUAA